Molecule: ribosomal RNA, 467 nt
Filed under: uncultured bacterium
Lineage: Bacteria
Description: partial 16S ribosomal RNA
Rfam family: Bacterial small subunit ribosomal RNA
Source: RNAcentral
GACGAACGCUGGCGGCGUGCUUAACACAUGCAAGUCGAACGGAAAGGCCCUGCUUUUGUGGGGUGCUCGAGUGGCGAACGGGUGAGUAACACGUGAGUAACCUGCCCUUGACUUUGGGAUAACUUCAGGAAACUGGGGCUAAUACCGGAUAGGAGCUCCUGCUGCAUGGUGGGGGUUGGAAAGUUUCGGCGGUUGGGGAUGGACUCGCGGCUUAUCAGCUUGUUGGUGGGGUAGUGGCUUACCAAGGCUUUGACGGGUAGCCGGCCUGAGAGGGUGACCGGCAACAUUGGGACUGAGAUACGGCCCAGACUCCUACGGGAGGAAGCAGUGGGGAAUAUUGCAAAAUGGGCGGAAGCCGGAUGCAGAAACGCCGCGUGCGGGAUGACGGCCUUCGGGUUGUAAACCGCUUUCGCCUGUGACGAAGCGUGAGGGACGGUAAUGGGUAAAGAAGCACCGGCUAACUACGU